Molecule: ribosomal RNA, 427 nt
Filed under: uncultured bacterium
Lineage: Bacteria
Description: bacterial SSU rRNA
Rfam family: Bacterial small subunit ribosomal RNA
Source: RNAcentral
UGGGGAAUUUUGGACAAUGGGCGCAAGCCUGAUCCAGCCAUGCCACGUGAGUGAAGAAGGCCCUCGGGUUGUAAAGCUCUUUUGUCCGGAAAGAAAAGCAUUCGGUGAAUACCCGGAUGUUCUGACGGUACCGGAAGAAUAAGCACCGGCUAACUUCGUGCCAGCAGCCGCGGUAAUACGAAGGGUGCAAGCGUUACUCGGAAUUACUGGGCGUAAAGCGUGCGUAGGUGGUUGUUUAAGUCUGAUGUGAAAGCCCUGGGCUCAACGUGGGAAUGGCAUUGGAAACUGGGGAGCUAGAGUGCGGUAGAGGGUAGUGGAAUUCCCGGUGUAGCAGUGAAAUGCGUAGAGAUCGGGAGGAACAUCUGUGGCGAAGGCGACUGCCUGGACCAGCACUGACACUGAGGCACGAAAGCGUGGGGAGCAAACA